GAGCCAGGCUCAAGUAUUGGCACCAAGUUAGGUCUCAGAGGAAAGAAUGGAAACCAAUCACUUUACAUUUUUAUUUUUAUUUUCGGUGGAAAAAUCAUCCUUUUUUGGGACAUACUUGCCCCCUACUUCCUCUUCUCUCUGGAAUGGCUCACAAUGAGUGCGAUAUUAGAAAACUCCUUGCAGAGGAGAGUUUCUCCAGGGCCUCCUCCGAAGUGUGGCUUUAAGGAGUAAGCUUGAGGAUGAUGUUUUUAAUUAUUGUAAAUCAUUACCUCAUUUCCAGCCUCCCAGGCUCCAUCCAUCCCAGCAUCUUUUAUUCUGCCAUUUUCCUCACCUUGUGCUAUGACAAUGGGGCGUUGUGCUUCCACAGAGACUUAUAGGAGUGUUCAGUGUAUAGUUUCUUAAUAAACACUUUAUUUUCUAAUG
This 423-nucleotide small RNA is filed under the name Pongo abelii (Sumatran orangutan). RNAcentral's name for it is "processed transcript". Lineage: Eukaryota; Metazoa; Chordata; Mammalia; Primates; Hominidae. The record is from RNAcentral.